UGCCACAGCUAUAUUACCCUGCAGCCCAAGACCGGUUACUCACUGAAGCUAAGCAGGGCUGAGCCUAUCAGUACCUGGAUGAGAAACCACAUGGGAAUACGCUACAAUUACUGAAGUAA
This 119-nucleotide ribosomal RNA is filed under the name Danio rerio (zebrafish). The record is from RNAcentral. Lineage: Eukaryota; Metazoa; Chordata; Actinopteri; Cypriniformes; Danionidae.